AGUGAACGCUGGCGGUAGGCCUAACACAUGCAAGUCGAACGGCAGCACAGUAAGAGCUUGCUCUUACGGGUGGCGAGUGGCGGACGGGUGAGGAAUACAUCGGAAUCUACUUUUUCGUGGGGGAUAACGUAGGGAAACUUACGCUAAUACCGCAUACGACCUACGGGUGAAAGCAGGGGAUCUUCGGACCUUGCGCGAUUGAAUGAGCCGAUGUCGGAUUAGCUAGUUGGCGGGGUAAAGGCCCACCAAGGCGACGAAGCGUAGCUGGUCUGAGAGGAUGAUCCGCCACACUGGAACAGAGACACGGUCCAGACUCCUACGGGAGGCAGCAGUGGGGAAUAUUGGACAAUGGGCGCAAGCCUGAUCCAGCCAUACCGCGUGGGUGAAGAAGGCCUUCGGGUUGUAAAGCCCUUUUGUUGGGAAAGAAAAGCAGCAGGUUAAUACCCCGCUGUUCUGACGGUACCCAAAGAAUAGGCACCGGCUAACUUCGUG
RNAcentral lists this ribosomal RNA (492 nucleotides) under uncultured bacterium. RNAcentral describes it as "partial 16S ribosomal RNA". It matches the Rfam family "Bacterial small subunit ribosomal RNA", at positions 29 to 507 of the family's 1533-position model. The record is from RNAcentral.